AGUGAACGCUGGCGGCGUGCCUAAUACAUGCAAGUCGAACGGAAUUUAAAAGGGCUUGCUCUUUUAAAUUUAGUGGCGCACGGGUGAGUAAUAUAUAGCUAAUCUGCCCCUUGCUGGAGGACAACAGUUAGAAAUGACUGCUAAUACUCCAUACUCCUUUUUACCAUAAGAUAAAUCGGGAAAGAAUUUCGGCAAGGGAUGAGACUGUAUCGUAUCAGCUAGUCGGUGGGGUAACGGCCUACCGAGGCUAUGACGCGUAACUGGUCUGAGAGGAUGAUCAGUCACAUUGGAACUGAGACACGGUCCAAACUCCUACGGGAGGCAGCAGUAGGGAAUAUUGCGCAAUGGGGGAAACCCUGACGCAGCAACGCCGCGUGGAGGAUGACACUUUUCGGAGCGUAAACUCCUUUUGUUAGGGAAGAAUAAGACG
RNAcentral lists this ribosomal RNA (430 nucleotides) under Campylobacter gracilis. RNAcentral describes it as "bacterial SSU rRNA". It matches the Rfam family "Bacterial small subunit ribosomal RNA", at positions 29 to 456 of the family's 1533-position model. Lineage: Bacteria; Pseudomonadati; Campylobacterota; Epsilonproteobacteria; Campylobacterales; Campylobacteraceae. The record is from RNAcentral.